This 24-nucleotide non-coding RNA is filed under the name Arabidopsis thaliana (thale cress). Lineage: Eukaryota; Viridiplantae; Streptophyta; Magnoliopsida; Brassicales; Brassicaceae. The record is from RNAcentral.
GGGUUGUUCAGGAGUUCGAGGAUG